Molecule: ribosomal RNA, 546 nt
Filed under: Triticum aestivum (bread wheat)
Lineage: Eukaryota; Viridiplantae; Streptophyta; Magnoliopsida; Poales; Poaceae
Description: partial small subunit ribosomal RNA
Source: RNAcentral
AUGGACCAUUCCAUCCCUUUUUCCCGUGCAUAUGCAUCGGACUCGGAUGACGAUGGUCCCGAUGAACAAGUUGAUGCGGAGGGGUUCACGGUGAAGGAGGCCGAAGCUUUCGAGAAGGUAUUUGGUCGGGAUCAUCGGACUACAUUGUUCAAGGAUGUUAGUCUCGCGGAUGAAGCCGUGGUAGAUGGUGGCCAAUGUGUACCUCUUGGGGUUAGGCCAAGCUCUCACUGUGAUUUGGUAGACGACAAGAACCGGAUUGCUAAAGGUUCUAAGUUCGACAGCUUGUUGGAUUUGAAGAUGUGGCUCGACAACUACUCGGUUACGCAUUAUCGUCCACACAAGGUGGUGCACUCGGAUGUCAAUGUGCGCUACACGGUUGCAUGUGCAUGUGAAGAUGAAAGGAGGUCCAACUUGGACUUACAAGAGGCCGUGGUGGUGGUAGAGGUCGUGGAAAGGAGGUCCAACAAGGAGUGGCAAGACGCCGUGGCGGUUGUCCGUGGAUUGUGCGUGCAAGACCAUGGAAAGGAGGUCCUACUUGGCAUGUAG